UCCUGACGCUGAAGUCGAAAGCUAGGGGAGCGAACGGGAUUAGAUACCCCGGUAGUCCUAGCUGUAAACGAUGGAUCCUGGCUAUGGGGGCUGUAAAUUCCCUCUGUGCCGAAGCAAACGCGUUAAGCAUCCCGCCUGGGGACUACGGCCGCAAGGCUAAAACUCAAACGAAUUGACGGGGGCCCGCACAAGCAGCGGAGCGUGUGGUUUAAUUCGAUGCUACACGAAGAACCUUACCUGGGUUUGACAUGCACGUGGUAGGGAACCGAAAGGGGACCGACCUUCGGGAGCGUGCACAGGUGCUGCAUGGCUGUCGUCAGCUCGUGCCGUGAGGUGUCGGAUUAAGUCCCGUAACGAGCGCAACCAUUGCCCUUAGUUACAAGUGUCUAAGGGGACUGCCCGGGACAACUGCCCGCAAGCUCGGGAUGACGUCAAGUCAGCAUGGCCUUUAUAUCCAGGGCUACACACACGCUACAAUGGCCGGUACAAUAGGUUGCGAAGUCGUGAGGCGGAGCCAAUCCUCAAAGCCGGUCUCAGUUCGAAUUGCAGUCUGCAACUCGACUGCAUGAAGCUGGAGUUGCUAGUAAUCGCAGGUCAGCUCUCCUCCAGGUGAUACGUUCCCGGGCAUUGACACACCGCCCGUCACGUCAUGGAAG
RNAcentral lists this ribosomal RNA (656 nucleotides) under uncultured organism. Its description in RNAcentral is "bacterial SSU rRNA". It matches the Rfam family "Bacterial small subunit ribosomal RNA", at positions 738 to 1410 of the family's 1533-position model. The record is from RNAcentral.